AGGUUACUGCUAUCGGUGUUCGAUUAAGCCAUGCGAGUUAAAUGUUCUUCGUGAACAUAGCGAACUGCUCAGUAACACGUGGACAAUCUGCCCUUGGGUUCGGGAUAACUCCGGGAAACUGGAGAUAAUACCGAAUAAGCCAUUGAAGCAGGAAUGCUCUUUGGUUCAAAGUUCCGGCGCCCAAGGAUGAGUCUGCGGCCUAUCAGGUUGUAGUGGGUGUAACGUACCUACUAGCCGACGACGGGUACGGGUUGUGAGAGCAAGAGCCCGGAGAUGGAUUCUGAGACAUGAAUCCAGGCCCUACGGGGCGCAGCAGGCGCGAAAACUUUACGAUGCGGGAAACCGCGAUAAGGGGACACCGAGUGCCAGCAUACUAUGUUGGCUGUCCACAUGUGUAAAUAGCAUGUGUUAGCAAGGGCCGGGCAAGACCGGUGCCAGCCGCCGCGGUAACACCGGCGGCCCGAGUGGUAAUCACUAUUAUUGGGUCUAAAGGGUCCGUAGCCGGUUUAAUCAGUCUUCCGGGAAAUCUGACAGCUCAACUGUUAGGCUUCCGGGGGAUACUGUUAGACUUGGGACCGGGAGAGGUAAGAGGUACUACAGGGGGUAGGAGUGAAAUCUUGUAAUCCCUGUGGGACCACCAGUGGCGAAGGCGUCUUACCAGAACGGGUCCGGCCGGUGAGGGACGAAAGCUGGGGGCACGAACCGGAUUAGAUACCCGGGGUAGUCCCAGCCGUAAACGAUGUUCGCUAGGUGUCUGGAAUGGUGCGACCGUUUCAGGUGCCGCAGGGAAGCCGUGAAGCGAGCCACCUGGGGAAGUACGUACGCAAGUAUGAAACUUAAAGGAAUUGGCGGGGGGAGCACCACAAGGGGUGAAGCCUGCGGUUCAAUUGGAGUCAACGCCGGGAAU
RNAcentral lists this ribosomal RNA (907 nucleotides) under uncultured Methanohalophilus sp. Its description in RNAcentral is "bacterial SSU rRNA". It matches the Rfam family "Archaeal small subunit ribosomal RNA", at positions 21 to 925 of the family's 1478-position model. Lineage: Archaea; Methanobacteriati; Methanobacteriota; Methanomicrobia; Methanosarcinales; Methanosarcinaceae. The record is from RNAcentral.